GAAUAUUGGACAAUGGGCGAAAGCCUGAUCCAGCCAUGCCGCGUGUGUGAAGAAGGUCUUCGGAUUGUAGAGCACUUUAAGUGGGGAGGAAGGGCAGUAAGCGAAUACCUUGCUGUUUUGACGUUACCGACGGAAUAAGCACCGGCUAACUCUGUGCUAGCAGCCGCGGUAAUACAGAGGGUGCAAGCGUUAACCGGAAUUACUGCGCGGAAAGCACGCGUAGGUAGUUCGUUAAGUUGGAUGUGAAAUACCCGGGCUCAACCUGGGAACUGCAUCCAAAACUGGCGAGCUAGAGUAGGGCAGAGGGUGGUGGAAUUUCCUGUGUAGCGGUGAAAUGCGUAGAUAUAGGAAGGAACACCAGUGGCGAAGGCGACCACCUGGGCUCAUACUGACACUGAGGUGCGAAAGCGUGGGGAGCAAACAG
This 424-nucleotide ribosomal RNA is filed under the name uncultured bacterium. RNAcentral's name for it is "partial 16S ribosomal RNA". It matches the Rfam family "Bacterial small subunit ribosomal RNA", at positions 359 to 775 of the family's 1533-position model. The record is from RNAcentral.